AUGCAACGCGAAGAACCUUACCUGGUCUUGACAUCCACGGAACUUUCCAGAGAUGGAUUGGUGCCUUCGGGAACCGUGAGACAGGUGCUGCAUGGCUGUCGUCAGCUCGUGUUGUGAAAUGUUGGGUUAAGUCCCGCAACGAGCGCAACCCUUAUCCUUUGUUGCCAGCGAUUCGGUCGGGAACUCAAAGGAGACUGCCAGUGAUAAACUGGAGGAAGGUGGGGAUGACGUCAAGUCAUCAUGGCCCUUACGACCAGGGCUACACACGUGCUACAAUGGCGCAUACAAAGAGAAGCGACCU
This 301-nucleotide ribosomal RNA is filed under the name Salmonella enterica subsp. enterica serovar Montevideo. RNAcentral's name for it is "bacterial SSU rRNA". It matches the Rfam family "Bacterial small subunit ribosomal RNA", at positions 954 to 1255 of the family's 1533-position model. The record is from RNAcentral. Lineage: Bacteria; Pseudomonadati; Pseudomonadota; Gammaproteobacteria; Enterobacterales; Enterobacteriaceae.